UACGUUCCCGGGCCUUGUACACACCGCCCGUCAAGCCAUGGAAGUCAGGGAGACCUGAAGACAGUGGCCGUCAAAGGAGCUGUUUAGGGUAAAACUGGUAACUGGGGCU
Molecule: ribosomal RNA, 109 nt
Filed under: uncultured bacterium
Lineage: Bacteria
Description: partial 16S ribosomal RNA
Rfam family: Bacterial small subunit ribosomal RNA
Source: RNAcentral